RNAcentral lists this ribosomal RNA (388 nucleotides) under uncultured bacterium. RNAcentral describes it as "bacterial SSU rRNA". It matches the Rfam family "Bacterial small subunit ribosomal RNA", at positions 29 to 417 of the family's 1533-position model. The record is from RNAcentral.
AUUGAACGCUGGCGGCAUGCCUUACACAUGCAAGUCGAACGGCAGCACGGGAGCAAUCCUGGUGGCGAGUGGCGAACGGGUGAGUAAUAUAUCGGAACGUGCCCGGUCGUGGGGGAUAACGUAGCGAAAGCUACGCUAAUACCGCAUACGAUCUACGGAUGAAAGCGGGGGAUCGCAAGACCUCGCGCGAUUGGAGCGGCCGAUAUCAGAUUAGGUAGUUGGUGAGGUAAAGGCUCACCAAGCCGACGAUCUGUAGCUGGUCUGAGAGGACGACCAGCCACACUGGGACUGAGACACGGCCCAGACUCCUACGGGAGGCAGCAGUGGGGGAAUUUUGGACAAUGGGCGCAAGCCUGAUCCAGCAAUGCCGCGUGCAGGAUGAAGGCCU